This 478-nucleotide ribosomal RNA is filed under the name Parastagonospora nodorum. RNAcentral describes it as "SSU rRNA". It matches the Rfam family "Eukaryotic small subunit ribosomal RNA", at positions 56 to 538 of the family's 1831-position model. Lineage: Eukaryota; Fungi; Ascomycota; Dothideomycetes; Pleosporales; Phaeosphaeriaceae. The record is from RNAcentral.
UGUCUAAGUAUAAGCAAUUAUACCGUGAAACUGCGAAUGGCUCAUUAAAUCAGUUAUCGUUUAUUUGAUAGUACCUUACUACUUGGAUAACCGUGGUAAUUCUAGAGCUAAUACAUGCUGAAAACCCCAACUUCGGGAGGGGUGUAUUUAUUAGAUAAAAAACCAACGCCCUUCGGGGCUUCUUGGUGAUUCAUGAUAACUUUACGGAUCGCAUGGCCUUGCGCCGGCGACGGUUCAUUCAAAUUUCUGCCCUAUCAACUUUCGAUGGUAAGGUAUUGGCUUACCAUGGUUUCAACGGGUAACGGGGAAUUAGGGUUCGAUUCCGGAGAGGGAGCCUGAGAAACGGCUACCACAUCCAAGGAAGGCAGCAGGCGCGCAAAUUACCCAAUCCCGACACGGGGAGGUAGUGACAAUAAAUACUGAUACAGGGCUCUUUUGGGUCUUGUAAUUGGAAUGAGUACAAUUUAAACCUCUUAAC